Molecule: long non-coding RNA, 690 nt
Filed under: Cicer arietinum (chickpea)
Lineage: Eukaryota; Viridiplantae; Streptophyta; Magnoliopsida; Fabales; Fabaceae
Description: long non-coding RNA (CARI_LNC000668)
Source: RNAcentral
AUAAGUUCUAAUAUGUUGUCUUUGCCUCUGAAAGAAAAGUAACAUAAACACAUUUUUUAUUCUACCUCUGAUACUUAUGACUAUGCUUCUGAUAUUGACACACUCUAAAUUGGCUCUAACUUUCAUACUUAUGACUCUAACAAAAGUCAAUGACUCUAACAAAAAGUCAACACACCAGAUAAAGUCAAUGCCUUUGAUGAAGGUCAACAAUUCUAGAAGUUGUGGAUGACUCUAAAGAUGUAAUUUUGAUGAUAUCUAGAGGAUUUCAUAUCAAAAUCUGAAAUAGGAAAAUAUUUCCUUUGAUCAUAAUAUUGUUAAUUUUGCCUUUGGUACUAUUUCUGGAAGAUGUCAAAGUUCAGAAAAAGACUUGAACAAGUUCUAGAAAAGUUCCAGUCGGCUACCUACCAAAUUGUAUCGAAUGGAAAUAUUGGCUAAGUAUUUUCUUAAUUGGUAUAAAUGGUUUGCAAAAGGUUCAUAAUUGACAACAACAACAAAAAAUUUGAAAUCCACAGUAAUUGUCAAAGGUGAAACAACACAGCAACGCACUGGUUCAAAGCAACGAUCCAUAAAAGAACAAAAUUGAAACAAGACAAUGUUUUAAUUCAAUACUGAAGCAAGACAUAUGUUCCAUAAUUGAUUAUAAAAACGAUUCUUCUUUAGUUCAACAACUAUAACAAGAAUGAUAACAAG